UUGUUUUUUUUUUUUUUUUUAGAUCAGCAUCAAUAAAAAGUAAAUGAUUGAUCGAUUGAUUCUAGAGGCAUCCGAUACCUGCUCAGUGGUGUCAACAGUUGAGUGUUGAAGUCAUUAUUGGCAAUUAUGGAAUGCCACUGUCGGAUGGACAACUUCGUCCUAGCCGUAUAUGAAUGUCAUCUUCCUCCAAGUUUGUAUAUAUCUACUCCUUCUUAUUGCCAUGCACCUCUUGUGAAUCAAAUUCUCUUAAUUAUUUUCUUUUUCUUGAUGAAAGCAAGCUAAAAAACCAGGCAUCACCUUCAUGGUAGUAAUCAUCAUCAAAAGCACCACAUGCCAGGUGGAGGAGACAGUCCCUAUGAUGACCCUUUCUUGAAUUCUUGUUGCUGCUGCUGCCACUGUUUUCUUGCUAUCUCAUACAUUUUCAGUGCUUUCCAAAGAUGCAUCCUUUUUUUUCCUUGUUACCCUCUCUUCAAGUGCUUUGGGUGGAAUGAAUCUGCUCCUAGAUAUCAACAUCAUCACAUCCAACACACGGAAAUGGAAUGAUUCAUCUUACUUAUCACUCAUCCAUUCCAUGUAUUUUAGUUUCUUCAAUCCUUCCUCUCCCUUCUUCCAAAGAAAAUAUCCUGAUUUAAUUUGUUACAAUAUUUAGAUUAUGACUGCUGGUGUAUUAUUAUUAUUAUUUUUAAAAGCAAAUUUAUUGAACUUUUGCUAUAUAGAAGAAGCACAAAAAAUUUGAUUAAAUAAAAAAAAUAAGUUUGCUUU
Long non-coding RNA from Glycine soja, 762 nucleotides. RefSeq lists it as uncharacterized. The transcript is spliced from 2 exons. The record is from RefSeq and is a predicted model, not a curated record. Lineage: Eukaryota; Viridiplantae; Streptophyta; Magnoliopsida; Fabales; Fabaceae.